This 788-nucleotide long non-coding RNA is filed under the name Sparus aurata (gilthead seabream). Its description in RNAcentral is "lncRNA (ENSSAUG00010008463.1)". The record is from RNAcentral. Lineage: Eukaryota; Metazoa; Chordata; Actinopteri; Spariformes; Sparidae.
CGUGCUAUCCGCCCGAAUAAGCACGGAUUGGUCAGAUGCCUUCAUGUCUCGUUCUGUCCCUCCCUCCUCCGCGCGUGCACACGUUACGUUUCACUGUUGCCGGAAAUAUUCAGCACACUCCUCUGCAGAAAUAGGGAGUUGCAGGAGAAGACGUUCAUUUGGUUACAAUGGCAGAGAAAAUGCAGCCAGCGUUACUUGUAACAGCUCACCCCGCUAAAAAGGCAAGGAAAAGAAAGACUGAGGUUGAAAAGGCUGCAACAGAAAAGGCUCUGGAUAAAGAAAGAAGUCGGACCGAGUCAACAUCUGUGCGGCGUUUGAGUGGUGGAGACAACUGGGGCAUGUGAAGGGCCUGAAAAGUGAUGCAGAGGUUGCUCUUUUUCUGUUGGACAGGAUCCACUUUCCUCUGCCGGAUCAGCGUUUAUUCUCCACCUGUGCUUCCUUGUCCUUUAUGUGCUUCACAUCCUUCUGCAGUCAUGUCUCAAGACAAAAAGCACUGGGAGCCAGUGACCACAGCUCAGGACAGGGUUUCAAUAUUUGCAAGUCUGACACCACUGGAUCUUUUUUGAAGAGGACUGGGAAAAUCUUCCAGCCAUGUUUGUGGCAACAGAAAAAGUGUUGUUUUUGACCAGAAGUCGGAACAUCUCCAGUGAAGCUUGCAGUGACAAAACCAGCUGGUUUUUUUUUUUUAACAAGACCUCGUGCCAAACCAAAACAGGUAUUUCAAACCAACAGAUGAUCUUUUUCUGACUGAAGUGUUUUUGUUUGUUUUUUUUGUGCCUGAAUCUUAC